AUGCAACUAAUUCAGCCAGUUUCCCUUACUCCUGGGGACUGGGUAGUGUAUGCAGCCUGUUGCUUGUGUGGGUUACCCUAAGGGACCUUGGAGACAGGA
This 99-nucleotide small nucleolar RNA is filed under the name Castor canadensis (American beaver). RNAcentral describes it as "Small nucleolar RNA SNORA70 (ENSCCNG00000017229.1)". It matches the Rfam family "Small nucleolar RNA SNORA70". From Rfam's summary of the family: snoRNA U70 seems to be exclusive to mammals and is a member of the H/ACA class of snoRNA which contain H (ANANNA) and ACA box motifs. H/ACA box snoRNAs are involved in the conversion of uridines to pseudouridines (5-ribosyluracil) a constituent of structural RNAs (transfer, ribosomal, small nuclear, and small nucleolar). The record is from Rfam by way of RNAcentral. Lineage: Eukaryota; Metazoa; Chordata; Mammalia; Rodentia; Castoridae.